GUGAAUCAUCGAAUCUUUGAACGCACAUUGCGCCCGUCAGUAUUCUGACGGGCAUGCCUGUUCGAGCGUCAUUUCAAACCUCAAGCCACUGUGCUUGGUGCUGGGGCUACUGUAAGUCUCUAUACCUACAGGCCCUAAAAACGCACGGCAGACCUUUUAGGCCUCUGAGCGCAGUAAACAUUCUCGCUCCUGGGGUUCUAGAGGGCAUCUAGCCCCUAAAACUUUUUUCCAAAGUUUGACCUCGGAUCAGGUAGGAAUACCCGCUGAACUUAAGCAUAUCAAUAAGCGGAGGA
This 293-nucleotide unclassified non-coding RNA is filed under the name Scutisporus sp. RNAcentral's name for it is "partial contains 5.8S ribosomal RNA, internal transcribed spacer 2, and large subunit ribosomal RNA". The stretch from base 1 to 71 matches the Rfam family "5.8S ribosomal RNA", at positions 84 to 154 of the family's 154-position model. Lineage: Eukaryota; Fungi; Ascomycota. The record is from RNAcentral.